This 6829-nucleotide long non-coding RNA is filed under the name Populus tremula. Its description in RNAcentral is "long non-coding RNA (PTRE_LNC000755)". Lineage: Eukaryota; Viridiplantae; Streptophyta; Magnoliopsida; Malpighiales; Salicaceae. The record is from RNAcentral.
CUACGUGCUUCGUUUUCAACACACCUUUCAAGUAAUAAGACGACUGAAAAAACUUCUCCACCUCCUCUACUCCCAUUUCGAAUGACUUGCAUGCUAGAGGUGUCGCCACCGGUCCUGGCGACACACAGUUGACUCUUAUCCCAUGCUCGCCCAACUGAUAACUUGCACAUUUCAUCAGUGCCAAAACCCCGCUCUUGGACAUGAUAUAAUCUGUGGACUUGUCCCCUGCAAGAGUCGCAGCGGCGCUUGAUGUGCAAAUGACGCUGCCCUUUACACCUCCGUCCACCAUGGCACGCGCCGCGUGCUUUAGGCAUGCUGCUGUGCCACGCACGUUUACUGCAAAGAGUUUGUCGCUCGAGUCCAGGUCGAAGUCAAGAACAUUUUGCUUACCAAAGCCUGCGAUGCCGGCAUUGCAGAAUAUUACGUCAAGGUGACCGUAAAGUUGAACAGUGGAUUCCACAAGGGAUUUGACUUGGUUUUCAUCAGUUACAUCACAGUGGAUGUAAGUGGAUCUGUUAGUUCCGAUGGAUUCUGCAAGCUUUUGGCCCUUUUCAUCUUGAAUAUCUGCGAUCACGACUGCUCGUGCGCCGUUUUCAGCAAAGGCAAGCACGGUGGCCUCGCCUAUGCCACUGGCACCUCCCGUGACGAUAGCAACCUUGUCUUGAACCUUGUUCUUGCAAGGUUUUGUAGAUGCCAUUUUAGCUUUGUUUUUGAGUUUUGCAGUGAAUUACACGAAAGAUUCAGAAUUUAGUAUGCUUAUAUCAAGAGAAUUGAUGUAGAUACUUUGACUCCUAGCUAUAGCAUUGGGACCAUUAGAUUUCGGAGAUCUGCUGUGAUGGUAUUUGUGAUUGUUUACAGUUUUUUUUAUUUAAAAUAUAUUAAAAUAAUAUUUUUUUUAUUUUUCAAAAAUUAUUUUUGAUAUAAUAUAUCAAAAAAAUUCAAAAAAUUAAAAAAUUAAUUUUAAAAAAUAAAAUAAAAUAAAUAUUAAUUUUUUUCCAAAACAUUUUUAAAACGUUAUUAAUCUUAAGCCAAUUGAAAGUCUUACACGGGAUUUACAUGGCUGUUAAAUUACAAAAAGUAGAUGCAAGCAUGGCCGACAGUAUCUUAAAACUGUUUUUUCUUAUGCUGUCUUUUCUUUGACGUCCAUUCAUUUUCUUUUCUUAUGUUAUCUUAUCAUUCAUUUAUCAUUAUAGUAUUUUUUUUUAAUUAGAUAAUUCUUAUGUUAUCUUAUGCCAUUUUUUUUAAUUUUUUUUAAUUAUGUAUCUUAAUUAAUUUUAUAAUUUUUAAAAUUAAUAAUUAUAUAAAAUUCUAGUAAUUUUAAAGUUUUUAAAACUUGAAGGAAUAAUCUUUAAAAACUAACUAGUUAAACUACUUCAUUUAAUAUUUAAUUACAACAAUUUUAUAGGUGAGGCUGGUAGAUAUUAUAAUUGGAUGGUAUUAAAGAGUGUCGACGUAGAAAUUAAUAAAUGAUAUUAUGAUUUAAUUAUUCUAUAAAAUAUUAUAAAAUCUAAUAAGUUGAGAUAUUUUUAAUAAAAUAAUUGAAAUUCCACACAGAUUAUAAUGUAUUUUGUGUUCAUCAGUUUUUUUUUUCUUUUUUUGUAAUUAAUCCUUUUGGUUUUUCAAAAUUAAUAUUUAAUUUCUAUAGUUUUUAUCCAUGUAUAACUCGAUCAUUUUCAUCUAUUUUAUAUUAUUUUUCAAUUUAUUUUGUUUUCUUCUUUUAAGAAAUAAAACAGGGGAAAAUAAGUAGAUGAUACCACAAAAAUGAUAAUAAAAGAGAGCAUUUCUUUGAAACAAAAUACUACUAAAUUAAGCAUGGUCAGGGACUAUUUAAUUAGUUAUUGAUAUUACAUAUAUCAAUUAAUUUUUUUUAAUAAAUUAUGAGGAUUAAGUUGUAAUUAACUCAUGAAAUAAGAAAAAAAAAACAUCAGUACCACAUGCUUGGCUUUCAGCACAAAAUUUUCCAAACAAUAAUGUGAUUCACGCCAUAGGCGGUGCUACCAGUACUAGUGACGCAUACAGCGGUACCUCGGAGGGAAAAAAAUUAUAUAUAUAUAUAAUCUUUUGAGGGCCCAAAUUAAGGAUCAAUAUAUAAACUACACUAAAUUACUGGGACUAUAAUUAAUUUUCUGGAGAGCCUCGCUUUUGCACAGUAUUAUUAACUAUAACUAAAAUUGAUCAGUGUUUCACUGUAGCGCAGGAUAUAAUUUAUUGUGAUUGAAUUCACUGUGAACUUUGAGAGCUUUCAUUGUGGACUGCGCUGUUUGGCUGGAGGGCAGGGGCGCCAGUCUGGAAGCAAAACCACUGGGGGAGCUGCCCCUAGGUGCUAGGUCUGCCCGACCUUGGGGCUGGGGGCAGACCAGGGCUCCAGGCACGUCGCCACCUGGCAAUAGGUCUGCCCGGCCUUGGGAGAUGGGACAUACCAAGAGCGCACGUGGCACUUUGGCUACCACGCCCAUAGGUAGGACGUCCAAGCUCCGCAGGGCGCUUGAUUUCCUUUUUUUUUGGUGCAGUCCAAGCACCACAUAGCGCUUGGGCUGCCUAUACUUUUAGUAUAAAUGUAUUAAAAAUAUUAUAGGUAAUUCGCCACAUUGUUUGUUUUGUUGAUGAUUUUUUUUAGUGUAAUUAAUAUUAGAAGAAUUAUUUUAUUAUUUCUUAAUAUAUUUUUUUUUAAGUAUAAUUGAUAGUACUGCUAUUACUAUGAAAAAAAAACCAUGUUUGGAUACCUAGCCCUUGGGUUCCCUCCUGAGGGCGGACAACCCAAACACAACGUGGAGCUUGGUCUGCUUCCUCUGCGCUACAGUCCAAGCGUCAGGUAGCGCUUUGGUUUGGGCACUACCAAGCAUGGCCCAAGGCUAGCCUUGGACCUGGUAGGACAGGACUCAAAAUAACAUUAGGUUUUUACCGUGGGCGAACCAAGCAUCACGUGGCGCUUGGGCAGCACAGUGCCACCUGGCGCUUGGUUUGCUUCCUCUUGGGUGCAGCCCAAGCGCCUCGUGGUGCUUGGGUUGCCUAUGUUUUUGGUAUAAUUACAAGUAUUAGUAUUAAAAAUAUUAUUAUUAGUUUUCUUAAUAUUCUUUUUUUUUGUAUAAUUAAUUUUUAGUGUAUUAAUAGUAAAAAUAUUAUUGUUUGCUUUUUUAAUAUUAUUUUUUUAGUAUAAUUAAUAUUAAAAGAAUUAUUAUAUUUUUUCUUAAUAUAUUUUUUUUGUAUAAUUGAUAAUACUGGUGUUAAAAAUAUUAUUAUUAUUUUUUUAGUAUAAUUAAUAGUGUUGAUCUCAAAAUUAUUAUUAUUUGUUCUCUUAAUAUUAUUUUUUUGUAUAAUUAAUAAUAUUAGUCUCUAAAAUAUUAUUAUAUUUGGUGUUAUAAAUAAUAUUAUUUUUUAUAAUAAUUUAUAUAAUUGCUACUAAAAAUAUUAUUACUAUGAAAAAAACCACGUUGGGACACGUGGCGCUUGGUAGGAUAGUACGGUAUAAGAUAGAAUUUGUCAAAGGUAGACUAUUAGAAAAAGAAUACCUUGUGUUAAUUUCAAUGAGAGUAUCUAUAGUAUUUUUAUCAGUAAGUCUAGCCCGCUAAAUAAUAUCUGUAACAUAUUUUGACCGAGAAAGAAGGUAACCUCUAAGCUAAGGUUGACUUGCGUCUUUUUUGGUUUGUUUUUUAAGCUUUUUAUUAUUAUUAUUUUGUCUUUCAACACUUGGUUGGUCUAGAAAUUAAGCUUCAUGUUUUUUUCUCCUUUUACCAGGUUAUCUUGUUCGCACGAUCCAACUCGUGAGGUUUCGUGGACUUGUCCAGGUUUGCUGGUGUUGUUUUUCCUUUUUGUUAAUUGAUUUUUUUUCCGGUUUCAUCCUUUUACAUUUGGAUUGUUAAGGAUUGGGCAUUGUAAUUUUUUAUUGUUAAGGAUUGGGUAUUGUAAUUUUUUUAUUUACUUUAUAAGGAGUUAUCUCAACUUCACAACUUGGAUCGUGAAUCAGACAUGUUAACUCGAUUUUUAUUUUAUUUUAUUAUUCAGUAUGAAGUUGUAUGGAAAUUUAAUUUCGUGAUUUUUUUUUCUUUUAUCAAGUGUUCUUUUUGUACUGGUAUGUAUGAUCACUUUGUUUUAUAAAAAAAUAAUUCAUUUAUUAUUGUGUUUUUUUCUUUUUUAUUAUAUAAUUAAAUAAAAAUAACUUAUUGAAACUAGUGGAGUUUAUGCCUUGAAUCAUGGGCUUUUUACUUCUUUUUGUUCACCUAUCAUUUUUCAGAAUUUUCCUUUAGUUUAUAGCUUAUUGCUUUCAUAAAAUUAAGACAAAUGCCUCCGAGUCUUCAAUUCUCUCAUUUUUUAAAUCAGAUUUCGUCGUUUAAAAUAAAACUAUCUUAUUAUACAAAUUCCAAGCAGCGCUUGGAUGGUGUGGAUGGAUUGAGAAUCGAAGGCAAACGCUACACACAUGGAUUGAUAUGUAGUCAAGGAUAUACCGGAUCUUAUAAACUCUAGUUUUUAAACAUUUUUUGUUUAUGAAAUUAUUAGAUGAAUCUAAUUUAUUAUUUAAAAAAAAUACAUAGAGUAUCUUGUAGUUUAGUAAUUUUUUAACUUUGUCUUAGUUAUUUUAGAAAUUAUAAUUUAUAUUUUAGAUCAAAAUAAUUUUUCAAUUUGAAUAAAAAAAAAAUCAAAUUACACUCGUAUAUAAUUUAUUAGAAAUAGUUUCUUUAUCAUAUUACCGCCCCUCUAGCUAGAUCGAUCUGCAAUUUCUUCUUCUUUGUUUUCUUUAUGUUUAGCUUGUUCAAACCCUAAAGAAAAAUGCAUGUGAAAUAAAAAUCGAUAGCCCAACUUGCUUUUUAAGAGUUUUUUCUCUUACCUUUUAUCAGAUACAAAUAAAUAGCCCAAUUUUUAUAGAUCUUGAAGUCAAGAUUUGUGGUUGUUAGGCCUGUUGUGUUGUUGACUACGCAAAAAAAAGUGAAUUGCACGAGUUCUUGAAAGGAGCAAAUUUAUGAUGUGCCACUUUUCAAAGGUGAUUUGUGUAUUAACUAUAACAAAAAAUUGAUCAGUUUACUAUAGCGUAGAAUAAUAAUCACUGUGAAUGAAUUCAUCAUGGAUUGCAUUGUUCUACGUUGUUACGGGCUGCUGGAGGCGUGCCCAGGAGUGCUGCGGAUACCAGACGCUUGGUAGGUAGGCCUGGGCGCUGGGCAGGCCACAUCCUUGGUUGUAGUCACCUGGCACUCAGUCUGCUCAACCUUGGACGUUUAGGCUACCUGCCUGUGGGCUAGGCAAACAAAGGUACACAUGGCGUUUAGGCUAUUCCUCAGUGUUGGGCACACCUCUGCACACACGUGGUGCUUGGCCUUCUUGCUUGGGGGCUGGGCACAUCCCAACAAACACGUGGUGCUUGGGCUGUGUUGGACGUCACCCAUGCCCUUGCCCCACUUGAAGACACCUAGCGCUUCAGUCAUGCCGUUGGAUCAAAUUAGAAGGGGUUCGUCAGAACCCACAAUGAAUGGUUUUAGCGUUAGGACCCAAUUAUUAUUGAGUCUUCCAUCAAGACCCAAGAUUCCUCGGUACUAAGAUUCUAAAUAUUAUUAUUUAUUUUUAAAAUAUUAUUAUUUUUAUUAUAAUUAAUAUUAUUAAUAAAAUAAUUAAUAAAUUUCAAAGAAAAUAUUGGUGUAAAUACUAUUAUUUUUUAUAAUAAUUAAUAUUAUUAAUAAAAUAAUUUCUAAAUUAGAAAAAAAAUAUUCUUAAUUUUAAAAAACAACUAUAGAUUUGAUUAAACAAAAUAAAUCAAAUUUAAAUUGAUGAUAUUACUAAAUUAAAUCCUUAAAUAAUAAGUCAUGAAAAGAAAAUCUUGAAAGAAUUAUUUGGAAGAUCAGAUGGAUCACUUAAUACUAAAUAAAUUUCUCAACAAACUAAGCAUAUGCAAAAUCAUUAUUAAUUAAGAACUAAAUCCGACACAAUCCUUCCCCGGACGAUUUUAUUUGGGAAUACCAAGAAAAUUAAACCCACCAUCGACGAUCAAAUUCUGGCCAGUCACAAACUCAGAAUCGUCAGAAGCAAGAAACAGCACUGCGUCAGCUAUGUGCUUCGUUUUCAACACACCUUUCAAGUAAUAAGACGACUGAAAAAACUUCUCCACCUCCUCUACUCCCAUUUCGAAUGCCUUAUUGCAUGCUAGAGGUGUCGCCACCGGUCCUGGCGACACACAGUUGACUCUUAUCCCAUGCUCGCCCAACUGAUAACUUGCACAUUUCAUCAGUGCCAAAACCCCGCUCUUGGACAUGAUAUAAUCUGUGGACUUGUCCCCUGCAAGAGUCGCAGCGGCGCUUGACGUGCAAAUGACGCUGCCCUUUACACCUCCGUCCACCAUGGCACGCGCCGCGUGCUUUAGGCAUGCUGUUGUGCCACGCACGUUUACUGCAAAGAGUUUGUCGCUCGAGUCCAGGUCGAAGUCAAGAACAUUUUGCUUACCAAAGCUUGCGAUGCCGGCAUUGCAGAAUAUUACGUCAAGGUGACCGUAAAGUUGAACAGUGGAUUCCACAAGGGAUUUGACUUGGUUUUCAUCAGUUACAUCACAGUGGAUGUAAGUGGAUCUGUUAGUUCCGAUGGAUUCUGCAAGCUUUUGGCCCUUUUCAUCUUGAAUAUCUGCGAUCACGACUGCUCGGGCGCCAUUUUCAGCAAAGGCAAGCACGGUGGCCUCGCCUAUGCCACUGGCACCUCCCGUGACGAUAGCAACCUUGUCUUGAACCUUGUUCUUGCAAGGUUUUGUAGAUGCCAUUUUAGCUUUGUUUUUGAGUUUUGCAAUGAAUUACACGAAUGAUUCAGAAUUUAGUUGCUUAUAUCAAGAGAAUUGAAUCAUUGACGAUGAUACUUUGAC